Molecule: long non-coding RNA, 391 nt
Organism: Rhodamnia argentea
Lineage: Eukaryota; Viridiplantae; Streptophyta; Magnoliopsida; Myrtales; Myrtaceae
Exons: 2
Source: RefSeq, a predicted model, not a curated record
CUCCAUCUCCAAAUCCUUUCGAUCCUUCGAAUUUUGCCUGCAUUUCUGGUGAUUGAUGUUCUGCACCCUGGAAGACCCAAUUUUUCCAAGGUAACCACAGUUUGGAAGUUACGAACUUCAGUGUUGUUGUAGGUUCUUUUUGCCUGUUUGAUUGUUUUAUUUCACAAUUAAUUUUACUGAAAGCUGUUGGUUUGCACCUUGUGUUUUGUUUUUUGUUUUUUUUUAAUCUCAGGCUGAGCUUAAGGAGAAGCUUGGAAGGAUGUGCGAUGUGAAGGAACCCAACUCAAUAAUACACAUUUUGCAAGAGCUAAUUUGGAUCUUGAUUAUGGAUAUUUAGUUAACCUUAAUAAUGUAAAUGAGGGGUCUAGUGCUUCAAAUGAUAAUUUAUCUU